RNAcentral lists this ribosomal RNA (253 nucleotides) under uncultured bacterium. RNAcentral describes it as "partial 16S ribosomal RNA". It matches the Rfam family "Bacterial small subunit ribosomal RNA", at positions 524 to 776 of the family's 1533-position model. The record is from RNAcentral.
UACAGAGGGGGCAAGCGUUGUUCGGAAUUACUGGGCGUAAAGGGCGCGUAGGCGGCCUCUUAAGUCGAACGUGAAAUCCCCGGGCUCAACUCGGGAACUGCGUCCGAUACUGGGGGGCUUGAAUCCGGGAGAGGGAUGUGGAAUUCCAGGUGUAGCGGUGAAAUGCGUAGAUAUCUGGAGGAACACCGGUGGCGAAGGCGGCAUCCUGGACCGGUAUUGACGCUGAGGCGCGAAAGCCAGGGGAGCAAACGGG